RNAcentral lists this transfer RNA (71 nucleotides) under Dallia pectoralis (Alaska blackfish). RNAcentral's name for it is "tRNA-Thr". It matches the Rfam family "tRNA". Rfam says of the family: Transfer RNA (tRNA) molecules are approximately 80 nucleotides in length. Their secondary structure includes four short double-helical elements and three loops (D, anti-codon, and T loops). Further hydrogen bonds mediate the characteristic L-shaped molecular structure. tRNAs have two regions of fundamental functional importance: the anti-codon, which is responsible for specific mRNA codon recognition, and the 3' end, to which the tRNAs corresponding amino acid is attached (by aminoacyl-tRNA synthetases). tRNAs cope with the degeneracy of the genetic code in two manners: having more than one tRNA (with a specific anti-codon) for a particular amino acid; and 'wobble' base-pairing, i.e. permitting non-standard base-pairing at the 3rd anti-codon position. Lineage: Eukaryota; Metazoa; Chordata; Actinopteri; Esociformes; Umbridae. The record is from RNAcentral.
GGAUGGAUGCUCAGUGGUAGAGUGCAUGCUUUGUAUGUUCGAUGUCCUGGGUUCAAUUCCCAGCUUCUCCC